Molecule: non-coding RNA, 4338 nt
Organism: Lolium perenne
Lineage: Eukaryota; Viridiplantae; Streptophyta; Magnoliopsida; Poales; Poaceae
Source: RefSeq, a predicted model, not a curated record
ACAACUUGGAAACACAUGAACAUAUACUUUAAAUGAAACAUCCUACUGAUCAGAAUUCUUUCUGAUAUUCAAGUUGAUAUCAUCACAUGAAGGUAGAGUAGUUGAACAUGAAUAAGAAAUAAGCCAACAAUUUUUCAAACAUUACUUGCAAUCUUUAAAGAUGAAACAGCAGCAGCAUCCGUAUAUUAGGCGUGUGUUAGGCGUUGCACCGCAUCCGUAUCUACACUACUUAAAAAGGAGGAAUAUGUUCCCUAUUCUGCCCAGCCCCACUACGACCAAUCUUUUCGUCGUCCGCAGUAUGUCGCCCGAUGGUUUCGCCCCGCACGCGGCAAACUGGGCCAGGCCCAUCACAAUACAAUCCACUGUCCUGCGUCGCACCCCCUAGCUCUUCCCUCCCUAUCCAACCCUAGCCGCCGCGCCGAACGCUCCCUUCGAUCUCUCCUCAGCUAAGCUCUCCUGUCUCGCCUCGCUUCACCUUCGAUCGUGCGGGACGACGGAUGCCAUUGAACUGAUGGAGUUUCUAUCGGACUCCCAGGCAGUGAUGCGCAAGGUGCCGAGAUGUGGAUCCUUGCGCACGGAGAACUCAUUCGCCGUUAGCAAGCCUCCGCCAGGCACAUCCUCGAUCAACAUCUGAUUCGUCCACUAGCGGCCAUUUUCUUUCUAUGUGAGAGCCGAAGUUGGUGCCAACCAACAUGGAGGGGACACACUACCUGAGAGGGUGCAUUUGAACGAGCGAGAUCUAAAUUGCUAAUGAUGAGCAACAUUCGUUUAGUCAUAUGCAUUUCCUAGAAGUAUAAUUGGAUCUCUAAGUUGAUCUACCCGAUCUGAUCCAGGUAAACAUCUUCAGUCCAAUUACCUGCUUGUUUUCAGUACAACAAUUGUUUUGCUUGAACAUUUGUAAAAUAUAACAUGUCCUACAAUUUUCUCUCAAAUACAACAAGUUGAUUGAUGCAUAUAUGACUUGUUUGUUCCCAUUCCUCGCAUAUGUGUAAUUUCUAACUUGUAUGCGAUAGGAUAAAGUUAUUUUGGUGAUUAUUCGGUGCAAACAACAAAUCUAAUACAUUUUUUUCAAAUGAGACCCGUCCAUGUAACCAAAACUAAAAUUUCACAAAAAAUGUUGAAUAGAGGUAAAGCUUCUUCACGCACAAUUUACUCGAUAUAUCUUUAAUAAUAUACGAAUCUAGAGAGUUCUGCCAUGUUCAUAUAACAAGCAAGUUACCAACAUGCAAAAUCUUGUCAAUCCAAGAAAGUUGAUUCCAUGGUAAUGCAUAUCAGUGGACACGAACUGGAUUAUGCUCAUCAUUAACAAGAGACGGUCUACAUAGAGAAUUAGUACUUUUGAUGUACGAUCAUGCCUAAUGUUUCACUUUAAUUGGGACCAAGGUCUAAAGAUUAUUUCUUUUGGUGUACGAUUACUAUUAGUUAGGUAUGUCUAAACCAUGAGUGGUGACUUUGCGAUCGACUGCACUGAUUUUUCUGGGCAUUGUUUUAACUUGUGAAUGGGGAUGGUGCUGUAAUUUCAGAAGAUUUAGCAAACUAGAUGUACGAUACAAUACUAUAAAUCUGGAUAUCAUAGGAGAAUGCCUAAUAAAUAUUGACAGUCAGCAGCCACCAGACCAACCAUAUUACAUGAUUUGUUGUGGGCAUUUGGACACUUUCUGUAAUACUACUUAUUGAUCUUAUACUAUUUUUCAUUAGAGAGUCUUUUUCAUUAAUGUAUUUCCACAGAUUAUGUUCCAGUUAUUUUGGUGGCUUGAAUAAGCAGUUUAUCUGCUAUGCUUGUAUUAUCUCUGUAGGAUUUCCAUCGGGAGAGCAAAAUUAAAUUAUUCUUUUUGUAGGUAAAAUAGUUUAUCCUUGCAAACACCCGAGUGUUCCCAUCAGUAGGUUAACUUCAUAGAGCCAUUGAGGCUAGGGGCAGAGCCAUCUUAUUCUGCAGCAAGUAAGACACUUCCUGUUGGCGUCUAAUGAAAGAUGUAAUGUUCGGUAGAUUGGUUGUUUGCCUGAAACUAGAAUGCUUUCCUAUUUUGUAAUUAUUGGGUCAUAUGGUUUGGCCACGGUGGCCGAUAAAGGCGAGAAGUGCUUCGUACUCCCAGAUAUUGUGUUGACUGUAGAAUGUAGUUGCGUCUAGCAAUGGCUUUCUAAAAUGUGAUCUCAAGUACCAUCCUUAGGUCUAGAGGCUGCAUCACACCUGCCUCAUAAUGAUCUGUUACAGAAAUUUACUGUUUCAGACUUAUGUUUUUCAGAUUUGUGGUUGAUGAUUUUUAUUUGAACCAAUGCAGCUAUACCAUUAGGCAUACCACUUUCAUUUAGUCAGUUACAUGAUAUACAUCUUUUUUGUGCAUGUAAGCAGGAAAAGGGGGCCAGUCAAUCCAAUUAGAAAUCAGCAAGGUCAAACUUUGAAUGCUCCAGAAAGGUAGUGCAGCUUCUUAUAGUUGUGUAUUACUUCAGCUUCUUAUUUAUUGAUGAUUUGUAAUUGCUUCCUCUGAAAACUGCUACGUUGCAUCGAGGAUGGGACUGUUACUGUCGAUUUUGUCGCCACGCCAAAGCUCUGGGGCAAGUCAGGUUUCAGAAGAUUUGCGAAAAUAUCAAGGUCGUCGAGAUCAAGUGUGGUUCCAGAAGGUGCCAGUGGCAUGGCGGUUCCCACAUUCGCCUUGAAGAAUGAAGGAAAUAACAAAGAACUUCAGCAGUGAUGCUCUUAUAGGAAAUAACCAAUAUGCAAUCUAACGAUAUCAUCUUGCAAUUUUUCAGUUCUGCUUUAUUUUAUACAUAACCAAUCGACAUGAUUUUCUAAUUUACAUGUCUUUCUGAACCAGAAACUUCAGGGAACUUAUUUCUCAACCAGGAGCUCCAGUUAACUUUUUCUGAAGAUUUUGGUCCAUGGUCUGUACUCUAUAGUUGCUUGAGCUUUUGCUAAAUUUUAAUCAGGUUAGGUUGCUCCUUUUAAAUCCAUAUCAUAGGGGCAGCAGAAGGAGAAGGGUGAUAUGGAUUACAAAUAACAAUGCUCGACAGAAGAAGGGAAGGGAGACAUGCAUGUGAUAAGAGGUUGCCACGACGAGUUGAUAAGUCAUGCAACAUGUGGAAAGCCCGGUUAAAACAGUGUGUGUGGUAAUACUAUAAUGAGUUUUUUAGGUCAUGCAUUGCGUUGAGAUAUGUUGUGGAAGCAUUGCCAUAUUGAUCUUCAAGAACCUCUUAGACAGCGAUAGUCCAAGCUUAUCUUCAUCUUUCUAUUAUAGACUUUUUUUGUGAGAAACUCUGCACUUUGAGGUCCUUCACCUCAUCAUGUCAUUAUCUGUAUAAUAUAAUAUUGUACAAUACCACAUUACCGAUUUCACUAUAAGAGGUUUUGAUUUUUUUUUGAAGUUUUCCUUUAGCUAUGCAUUAUAAAAUGGCACAUGUAAUUUGUGUCAAUGUAUUUUACACCUUUUGGGAAGUUAUCGUGUACUGUAUUAUGUUCUCUUGUAGUUUUCCUUGGAAUUUUUGUUUCACGAUUUUAUCAAAAAAAAAUUGAAUUCAUGAAAUUUAAUGCUUUCAAAUUGUGCCCCGAUCAAUAUUUUUUUGUGUGCGUAGGUAUGAUAAAUUACAUCUAUAUGUAUAAGGUGAGGUGUGUAGUUUCCUGCAUAAGGCUUAACUUCUCCAUAACGGUUAAUGCACACAUGAAGACUCUCUUGAAUGAUGGCAUUUAUUUGCUUGUGUCCGUGUUCUCUCACUGGCAGUUGUAAUGUAUAUCGUGCUAUUUACAUCCAUGGCUAGAUACAAUAUUAAGCUCGGAUACUGCUAAUAAGAAAAGAAUAUAGAUGAUAAGCAAAAGAAGAGUUCAGAUUACAUAAAAAAGCUUAAAUGAUAAGAAAAAAGAAAAAAGCUUAAAUUUGAAUGUGUAUCCUUUUAUAUUUUCGAAAAAGUUAUCAACUCGCAAUAGAGUAUUUCGCAUCUAUGCUUCGCUUGCGAGUGAGUGAGCUUCGUCUGUCUCAAGUGUCAAUUCAAAAAAAAAAGAUGAGGGCCAUGAGACUACAUGAUACUCUGUUUUCUUUGGCGUGCCUAUUAUUGAUGACGCCACUCUACUUCACCACUUCAUCUCAUGACAUAAUUUAGUGUUAUAAAAAUAAUACCAUAGGUCGAUGAUAUUGAAUUUAUAUUUAAAUCAAUAUUGUACACUAUUUACCUGUAUUUGUUACCCGUGGCAACGCACGGGCAUUUUACUAGUAUAAGAGAUAAGGAAACAGCAGCAGUGUAUACUUUAUAGUAUACCUUUGCAAGAUACAGAACAAGAAAAUUUCACUAAAUACUAUUCCAAAGCAGGAAAAUAAUAUUAUGUGGUGGGUAAAGAAGAACUGUCAAUAC